This 478-nucleotide ribosomal RNA is filed under the name uncultured bacterium. Its description in RNAcentral is "partial 16S ribosomal RNA". It matches the Rfam family "Bacterial small subunit ribosomal RNA", at positions 28 to 523 of the family's 1533-position model. The record is from RNAcentral.
GACGAACGCUGGCGGCGUGCUUUACACAUGCAAGUCGAACGGUAAGGCCCUUCGGGGUACACGAGUGGCGAACGGGUGAGUAACACGUGGGUGAUCUGCCCUGCACUUCGGGAUAAGCCUGGGAAACUGGGUCUAAUACCGGAUAGGACUCCGGACUGCAUGGUCUGGGGUGGAAAGCUUUUGCGGUGUGGGAUGGGCCCGCGGCCUAUCAGCUUGUUGGUGGGGUGAUGGCCUACCAAGGCGACGACGGGUAGCCGGCCUGAGAGGGUGACCGGCCACACGGGGACUGAGAUACGGCCCAGACUCCUACGGGAGGCAGCAGUGGGGAAUAUUGCACAAUGGGCGCAAGCCUGAUGCAGCGACGCCGCGUGAGGGAAGACGGCCUUCGGGUUGUAAACCUCCUUCAGCAUCGACGAAACGAAAGUGACGGUAGGUGCAGAAGAAGGACCGGCCAACUACGUGCCAGCCGCCGCGGUAA